UGCAGUCGACGGUAACCUCUGGAUUCGUCUGGAGGGGAGAGUGGCGAACGGGUGAGUAACACGUAGGUGACCUGCCUUGAAGACGGGGAUAACCACUGGAAACGGUGGCUAAUACCCGAUAGCCUCGGUGAUUCGGUUCAUCGAGUAAAGCUCCGGCGCUUCAAGAGGGGCCUGCGGCCCAUCAGCUAGUUGGUAGGGUAAUGGCCUACCAAGGCAAAGACGGGUAGGGGGCGUGAGAGCGUGACCCCCCACACUGGCACUGCGACACGGGCCAGACUCCUACGGGAGGCAGCAGUGAGGAAUAUUGCGCAAUGGGCGAAAGCCUGACGCAGCAACGCCGCGUGGGUGAUGAAGGCCCUCGGGUCGUAAAACCCUUUUCUGGGGGAAGAGCAAGGACUGUACCCCAGGAAUAAGUCUCGGCUAACUAUGUGCCAGCAGCCGCGGUAAGACAUAGGAGGCGAGCGUUAUCCGGGAUUACUGGGCGUAAAGAGCGUUGAGGCGGCCUCGUAAGUUGGACGUGAAAGCUCCUGGCUCAACUGGGAGAGGUCGUUCAAUACUGCAAGGCUUGAGGACAGCAGAGGGGGGUGGAAUUCCCGGUGUAGUGGUGAAAUGCGUAGAUAUCGGGAGGAACACCAGUGGCGAAGGCGGCCCCCUGGGCUGCUCCUGACGCUGAAGGCGAAAGCUAGGGGAGCGAACGGGAUUAGAAACCCCGGUAGUCCUAGCCGUAAACGAUGGAUACUAGGUGUAGGGGGUGAUAACUCCCUCUGCGCCGAAGCUAACGCGUUAAGUAUCCCGCCUGGGGACUACGGCCGCAAGGCUAAAACUCAAAGGAAUUGACGGGGACCCGCACAAGCAGCGGAGCGUGUGGUUUAAUUCGAUGCUACGCGAAGAACCUUACCAGGGCUUGACCUGCAGGUAGUAGUGAAGCGAAAGCGGAACGAUCCUUCGGGAAGCCUGCACAGGUGCUGCAUGGCUGUCGUCAGCUCGUGCCGUGAGGUGUUAGGUUAAGUCCUGUAACGGGCGCAACCCUUACCGUUAGUUACAAGUGUCUAGCGGGACUGCCCGGCAAAACUGGGAGGAAGGUGGGGAUGACGUCAAGUCAGCAUGGCCUUUAUGUCCUGGGCUACACACACGCUACAAUGGCCGGUACAAUGGGUCGCCAAGCCGUGAGGCGGAGCCAAUCCUGAAAGCCGGUCUCAGUUCGGAUUGUAGGCUGCAACUCGCCUACAUGAAGUUGGAGUUGCUAGUUACCGCAGGUCAGCCACACUGCGGUGAAUACGUUCCCGGGUCUUGUACACACCGCCCGUCACGUCAUGGGAGCUGGUGACACCUGAAGCCGGUGGGCUAACCGAAAGGAGGCAGCCGUCGAA
RNAcentral lists this ribosomal RNA (1370 nucleotides) under uncultured bacterium. Its description in RNAcentral is "bacterial SSU rRNA". It matches the Rfam family "Bacterial small subunit ribosomal RNA". The record is from RNAcentral.